This 252-nucleotide ribosomal RNA is filed under the name uncultured Bacteroidales bacterium. RNAcentral's name for it is "partial 16S ribosomal RNA". It matches the Rfam family "Bacterial small subunit ribosomal RNA", at positions 524 to 776 of the family's 1533-position model. The record is from RNAcentral. Lineage: Bacteria; Pseudomonadati; Bacteroidota; Bacteroidia; Bacteroidales.
UACGGAGGAUCCAAGCGUUAUCCGGAUUUAUUGGGUUUAAAGGGUGCGUAGGCGGAGUGUCAAGUCAGCGGUAAAAUUUCGGGGCUCAACCCCGUCGUGCCGUUGAAACUGGCGUUCUUGAGUGAGCGAGAAGUAUGCGGAAUGCGUGGUGUAGCGGUGAAAUGCAUAGAUAUCACGCAGAACUCCGAUUGCGAAGGCAGCAUACCGGCGCUCAACUGACGCUGAGACACGAAAGCGUGGGGAGCAAAUAGG